RNAcentral lists this ribosomal RNA (497 nucleotides) under uncultured bacterium. RNAcentral describes it as "partial 16S ribosomal RNA". It matches the Rfam family "Bacterial small subunit ribosomal RNA", at positions 28 to 507 of the family's 1533-position model. The record is from RNAcentral.
GAUGAACGCUGGCGGCGUGCCUAAUACAUGCAAGUCGAGCGAACGGACGAGAAGCUUGCUUCUCUGAUGUUAGCGGCGGACGGGUGAGUAACACGUGGAUAACCUACCUAUAAGACUGGGAUAACUUCGGGAAACCGGAGCUAAUACCGGAUAAUAUUUUGAACCGCAUGGUUCAAAAGUGAAAGACGGUCUUGCUGUCACUUAUAGAUGGAUCCGCGCUGCAUUAGCUAGUUGGUAAGGUAACGGCUUACCAAGGCAACGAUGCAUAGCCGACCUGAGAGGGUGAUCGGCCACACUGGAACUGAGACGCGGUCCAGACUCCUACGGGAGGCAGCAGUAGGGAAGCUUCCGCAAUGGGCGAAAGCCUGACGGAGCAACGCCACGUGAGUGAUGAAGGUCUUCGGACCGUAAAACUCUGUUAUUAGGGAAGAACAUAUGUGUAAGUAACUGUGCACAUCUUGACGGUACCUAAUCAGAAAGCCACGGCUAACUACGUG